AACGCACAUUGCACUCUCUGGUAUUCCGGAGAGUAUGCUUGUUUGAGUAUCUGUAAACAUCUCAAACCUCUCAGCGCUUGCGUUCGAGAGGAUUGGAUUUGAGCGAUCCCGACUCCUUCGUCAGAAAGAGGAGGGUCGCUUGAAAUGCAGAUGCAGCAGGACAUUCUUCUGAGCUAAAAGCAUAUUUAUUUAGUCCCGUCAAACGGAUUAUUACUUUUGCUUCAGCUAACAUAAAGGUCGAAUGAACCACUAUCGCUGAUUGCAGGAAAACAAUGUCCCUUAAAACAGGACUUUGUAAACUCGAUCUCAAAUCAAGUAAGACUACCCGCUGAACUUAA
Molecule: unclassified non-coding RNA, 338 nt
Filed under: uncultured fungus
Lineage: Eukaryota; Fungi
Description: partial contains 5.8S ribosomal RNA, internal transcribed spacer 2, and large subunit ribosomal RNA
Source: RNAcentral